UGCAAGUCUGGUGCCAGCAGCCGCGGUAAUUCCAGCUCCAAUAGCGUAUAUUAAAGUUGUUGCAGUUAAAAAGCUCGUAGUUGAACCUUGGGCUUGGUUGGCCGGUCCGCCUUUUUGGCGAGUACUGGACCCAACCGAGCCUUUCCUUCUGGCUAACCUUUCGCCCUUGUGGUGUUUGGCGAACCAGGACUUUUACUUUGAAAAAAUUAGAGUGUUCAAAGCAGGCCUUUGCUCGAAUAUAUUAGCAUGGAAUAAUAGAAUAGGACGUUAUGGUUCUAUUUUGUUGGUUUCUAGGACCAUCGUAAUGAUUAAUAGGGACGGUCGGGGGCAUCAGUAUUCAGUUGUCAGAGGUGAAAUUCUUGGAUUACCUGAAGACUAACUACUGCGAAAGCAUUUGCCAAA
This 402-nucleotide ribosomal RNA is filed under the name uncultured Debaryomyces. Its description in RNAcentral is "SSU rRNA". It matches the Rfam family "Eukaryotic small subunit ribosomal RNA", at positions 554 to 962 of the family's 1831-position model. Lineage: Eukaryota; Fungi; Ascomycota; Saccharomycetes; Saccharomycetales; Saccharomycetaceae. The record is from RNAcentral.